RNA transcript from Bufo bufo (common toad), 2253 nucleotides. It is a transcript of the gene named poly(A) binding protein cytoplasmic 4, with no coding region annotated. The record is from RefSeq and is a predicted model, not a curated record. NCBI's taxonomy places the organism in Eukaryota, Metazoa, Chordata, Amphibia, Anura, Bufonidae. The transcript is spliced from 13 exons.
UCAGGCGGCCUCUCUUGUGCUCGCUGCCGAGCACGGUGCCGGCUAAAAGGUAGUUUCCUGAGGGCGACCGGGGCGCAAAGCUCUAAAGACGUAAAAAUAGGAGGGGUAACUACAAGAUACACACUGCUCGGUACACGGGUCAUUUCGUAAGACUGUAACCCCCCGGUCUCUCCACGGAACGUCAGCCGGUCACCUGCUCCUUUCUGUCACGUUGCAUUCAGUGUAACCACCAUAAGUCUAGCCGCUGUCCACAGUCAAGCACCACAGUGUGACCACACAACUCUCCGACUAGGCGCUGCCCUGUUCAUAAGCCGAGCUCUGCCGGUGCACACCGGGGGAUCUGCCCGAGCCAUAUUCCCUGACCAGCUUUGUAGAAACGCCUUAUUGUCCUGUUACUUCUCCUGUGGAGAUCCCCUGGUUCCUCCUCCUAGCUCGGUAUAAGCUCUUGUUGGGGGAUGCACACAGCUACCUGCAGCUAUCCUAUGGCCUCCCUCUAUGUGGGUGACCUCCAUCCAGAUGUCACAGAAGCCAUGCUCUACGAGAAGUUCAGUCCAGCUGGGCCUGUGCUGUCUAUACGGGUCUGCAGGGACAUGAUCACCAGAAGAUCCCUUGGUUAUGCUUAUGUCAACUUCCAGCAACCUGCAGACGCUGAGCGGGCUCUGGACACCAUGAACUUCGAUGUGAUCAAAGGAAAACCUAUUCGGAUUAUGUGGUCCCAGCGUGACCCAUCUCUUAGGAAGUCAGGAGUGGGCAAUGUCUUCAUAAAGAAUCUCGACAAAUCAAUUGACAACAAAGCACUUUAUGACACCUUUUCUGCAUUUGGCAACAUUCUUUCCUGUAAGGUGGUGUGUGAUGAGAAUGGCUCCAAGGGAUAUGCUUUUGUGCACUUUGAAACACAAGAUGCUGCGGAUAGAGCCAUAGAGAAGAUGAACGGCAUGCUGCUCAACGACCGCAAAGUGUUUGUUGGUCGUUUUAAAUGCAGAAGGGAGAGGGAAGCAGAACUUGGAGCUAAAGCCAAAGAAUUCACCAACGUUUACAUCAAGAACUUUGGGGAAGAUAUGGAUGAUGAACGACUGAAGGAGACCUUCGGCAAAUACGGGAAGACUCUGAGCGUUAAGGUGAUGACUGACCCGAGUGGCAAGUCCAAAGGGUUUGGCUUUGUCAGCUUUGAAAAACAUGAAGAUGCCAAUAAGGCUGUAGAUGACAUGAACGGAAGGGAUGUCAAUGGAAAAGUGAUGUUUGUUGGCAGAGCACAAAAAAAGGUUGAGCGCCAAGCAGAGCUGAAAAGGCGGUUUGAACAGUUAAAGCAAGAGCGGAUUAGUCGCUAUCAGGGUGUGAAUUUGUAUAUUAAAAAUCUGGAUGACACUAUUGAUGAUGAAAAGCUAAGGAAAGAGUUUUCUCCAUUUGGAUCCAUCACAAGUGCCAAGGUUAUGCUGGAGGAUGGCCGUAGCAAAGGAUUUGGAUUUGUUUGCUUUUCUUCCCCAGAAGAAGCCACUAAAGCAGUCACUGAGAUGAAUGGGAGAAUUGUAGGGUCUAAACCACUCUAUGUGGCAUUGGCUCAAAGAAAGGAGGAACGGAAAGCGCAUCUUACCAAUCAGUAUAUGCAGCGUAUAGCAGGAAUGAGGGCUCUUCCUGCCAACACCCUUAUCAACCAAUUUCAGCCAGCUCCUGGAGGAUACUUUAUGCCUGCUGUUCCGCAGGCUCAAAACAGACCUACAUACUAUGCACCCAAUCAUAUGACCCAAGUACGGCCAGGCCCUCGAUGGCAGCAAGCAGGACGUCCUCAAGGCUUCCAACCCAUACCUAAUGCACUGCGCCAGAGUGGCCCACGUCAGUCACUGCGCCAUCUACCACCUUCAAGUACUCAGGGCACCCGUGGAAUCCCCAACGUAGCCCAGAGAGUUGGGGUAUCUUCUGCUACUCAGACCUUAGGUCCACGACAACAAGUCUCUUCUACUCCCCCUCGAGCUGUGCCUCCGUACAAGUACACACGUUGCCCACUCCCUGGUGUUCAGCCUCUACAAGAGAACGUCUCUUUCCUCUUAUCCAAGCCAUGCACCCCUCACUAGCGGGUAAAAUAACAGGAAUGCUGCUAGAAAUUGAUAACUCAGAGCUUCUACACAUGUUGGAAUCCCCAGAGUCUCUGCGCUCCAAGGUUGAAGAGGCUGUUGCAGUUUUACAAGCUCACCAAGCUAAGAAAGACGCUGCUCAGAAGGUGGUGAUCGUUGCUGCUACCUCUUGAACCAGGGUAAC